RNAcentral lists this ribosomal RNA (481 nucleotides) under uncultured bacterium. Its description in RNAcentral is "partial 16S ribosomal RNA". It matches the Rfam family "Bacterial small subunit ribosomal RNA", at positions 28 to 507 of the family's 1533-position model. The record is from RNAcentral.
GAUGAACGCUGGCGGCGUGCUUAACACAUGCAAGUCGAACGAAGCAUUUGCUACAGAUUUUUUCGGAAUGAAGUUGCUUAUGACUGAUUGGCGGACGGUUGAGUACCGCGUGGGUAACCUGCCUUGUCCUGGUGGAUAUCAGCUGGAAACGGCUGAUAAUACCUCAUAAGCGCACAAUGUUUCAUGACGUGGUGUGAACAACUCCGGUGGUAUACGAUGGCGCCGCGUCUGAUUAGCUAGUUGUUGAGAUACCAGCCCAGCAAGGCGACGAUCAGUAGCCGACCGGGGAGGGGGAACGGCCAAAUUGGGAAUGAGACACAGCCGAGACUAAUACGGGAGGAAGGAGUGGGGAAUAAUGCAGAAAGGAGGAAAGUCUGAUGCAGCGACGCCGGGUGAGUGAAGAAGUAAUUCGUGAUGUAAAGCUGUAUCAGCAGGGAAGAGAGUGACGGUACCUGACUAAGAAGCGCCGGCUAAAUACGUG